This 719-nucleotide ribosomal RNA is filed under the name Desulfobacterales bacterium enrichment culture clone MS_NAP_U11. Its description in RNAcentral is "bacterial SSU rRNA". It matches the Rfam family "Bacterial small subunit ribosomal RNA", at positions 56 to 749 of the family's 1533-position model. The record is from RNAcentral. Lineage: Bacteria; Pseudomonadati; Thermodesulfobacteriota; Desulfobacteria; Desulfobacterales.
UGCAAGUCGAACGAGAAAGGGAUUGCUUGCAAUCCUGAGUAGAGUGGCGCACGGGUGAGUAACACGUAGAUAAUCUACCUUCAAGCCUGGGAUAACUAUUCGAAAGGAUAGCUAAUACCGGAUAAAGCUAAUUUACAUAAGUUUAUUAAUGAAAGAUUGCCUCUUCUCGAAAGCAAUUGUUUGGGGAUGAGUCUGCGGACCAUUAGCUUGUUGGUGGGGUAACGGCCUACCAAGGCAGCGAUGGUUAGCUGGUCUGAGAGGAUGAUCAGUCACACUGGAACUGGAACACGGUCCAGACUCCUACGGGAGGCAGCAGUGAGGAAUUUUGCGCAAUGGGGGAAACCCUGACGCAGCAACGCCGCGUGAGUGAAGAAGGCCUUUGGGUCGUAAAGCUCUGUCAACAAGGAAGAAAUUAUUAUCAUUUAAUAGAUGUUAAUAUUGACGGUACUUGUGGAGGAAGCGCCGGCUAACUCCGUGCCAGCAGCCGCGGUAACACGGGGGGCGCAAGCGUUAUUCGGAAUUAUUGGGCGUAAAGGGCGCGCAGGCGGUCUUGUCAGUCAGGUGUGAAAGCCCGGGGCUCAACCCUGGAAGAGCACUUGAAACAGCAAGACUUGAAUACGGGAGAGGAGAGAGGAAUUCCUGGUGUAGAGGUGAAAUUCGUAGAUAUCAGGAGGAACACCGAUGGCGAAGGCAUCUCUCUGGACCGAUAUUGACGCUGA